This 253-nucleotide ribosomal RNA is filed under the name uncultured bacterium. Its description in RNAcentral is "partial 16S ribosomal RNA". It matches the Rfam family "Bacterial small subunit ribosomal RNA", at positions 524 to 776 of the family's 1533-position model. The record is from RNAcentral.
UACAGAGGGGGCGAGCGUUAAUCGGAAUUACUGGGCGUAAAGUGUGCGCAGGUGGCCGCGCAAGUCGAGUGUGAAAUCCCCGAGCUUAACUUGGGAACUGCGUCUGAUACUGGGUGGCUUGAGUUCGGGAGAGGAAUGUGGAUUUCCAGGUGUAGCGGUGAAAUGCGUAGAUAUCUGGAGGAACACCGGUGGCGAAGGCGGCAUUCUGGACCGAAACUGACGCUGAGGCGCGAAAGCCAGGGGAGCAAACGGG